Molecule: long non-coding RNA, 297 nt
Filed under: Elaeis guineensis (African oil palm)
Lineage: Eukaryota; Viridiplantae; Streptophyta; Magnoliopsida; Arecales; Arecaceae
Description: long non-coding RNA (EGUI_LNC062230)
Source: RNAcentral
UCAGGAGUUUUUUAACUUCCUCAGCUAUUGCCAUCUACCUUUCCAGAGCAUGACUUCAGAUUUUUUCCUUCGUCGGCUGAUGUUUGGGAUUAACAGCCAGGCGGUGUUCCAUGACUUCAGCAUCAAUCCCUGGCAUGUCUGUCGGAACCCAAGCGAAAACAUCCGUAUUCUUUCAUAAGAAAUUGAUGAGCUGUGUCCGCACCUCUUUCCUCAGGUUGGAGCCGAUCUUCACCACAUGCUCUUCAUUCCCAUCAUUCAAAGAAAUUGAGACAAGAUCUUCCAUUGGCUCACCCCGUU